AACAGCCGCGGUAAUUCCAGCUCCAAUAGCGUAUAUUAAAGUUGUUGCAGUUAAAAAGCUCGUAGUUGAAUUUUGGAUUCUGCCAGUUGGUCCAUCUUUUGAUGAGUACUGAUUGUGUGGGGUCUAUCCGCCUGGUGAUACGUAAUGUACUUUAUCGUAUGUUGCGGGUAGUCAGGACCUUUACCUUGAAAAAUUAGAGUGUUUAAAGCAGGCUUAUGCCGGAAUACAUUAGCAUGGAAUAAUAGAAUAGGACGAUGUUGUUUUAUUUUGUUGGUUUCUAGGACAACCGUAAUGAUUAAUAGGGAUAGUUGGGGGCAUUAGUAUUCAAUUGUCAGAGGUGAAAUUCUUGGAUUUAUUGAAGACUAACUACUGCGAAAGCAUUUGCCAAGGAUGUUUUCAUUAAUCAAGAACGAAAGUUAGGGGAUCGAAGACGAUCAGAUACCGUCGUAGUCUUAACCAUAAACUAUGCCGACUAGGGAUCGGGCGAUGUUGUUUCAAUUGACUCGCUCGGCACCUUAUA
RNAcentral lists this ribosomal RNA (520 nucleotides) under uncultured Glomeromycotina. RNAcentral's name for it is "SSU rRNA". It matches the Rfam family "Eukaryotic small subunit ribosomal RNA", at positions 569 to 1092 of the family's 1831-position model. The record is from RNAcentral. Lineage: Eukaryota; Fungi; Glomeromycota.